AAUGAACGCUGGCGGCAGGCCUAACACAUGCAAGUCGAACGGCAGCACGGACUUCGGUCUGGUGGCGAGUGGCGAACGGGUGAGUAAUGUAUCGGAACGUGCCCAGUCGUGGGGGAUAACGUAGUGAAAAUUACGCUAAUACCGCAUACGAUCUAUGGAUGAAAGCGGGGGAUCGCAAGACCUCGCGCGAUUGGAGCGGCCGAUAUCAGAUUAGGUAGUUGGUGGGGUAAAGGCCCACCAAGCCAACGAUCUGUAGCUGGUCUGAGAGGACGACCAGCCACACUGGAACUGAGACACGGUCCAGACUCCUACGGGAGGCAGCAGUGGGGAAUUUUGGACAAUGGGCGAAAGCCUGGUCCAGCCAUUCCGCGUGAGUGAAGAAGGCCUUCGGGUUGUAAAGCUCUUUCGGCAGGGAAGAAACGGUCUAGGUUAAUACCUUGGGCUAAUGACGGUACCUGAAGAAGAAGCACCGGCUAACUACGUGCCAGCCGCCGCAGUAA
This 500-nucleotide ribosomal RNA is filed under the name uncultured bacterium. RNAcentral's name for it is "partial 16S ribosomal RNA". It matches the Rfam family "Bacterial small subunit ribosomal RNA", at positions 29 to 523 of the family's 1533-position model. The record is from RNAcentral.